AGCGAACGCUGGCGGCAGGCUUAACACAUGCAAGUCGAGCGGGCACUUUCGGGUGUCAGCGGCGGACGGGUGAGUAACGCGUGGGAACGUGCCCUCUGGUUCGGAAUAACUCAGGGAAACUUGAGCUAAUACCGGAUACGCCCUUUUGGGGAAAGGCUUGCUGCCGGAGGAUCGGCCCGCGUCUGAUUAGCUAGUUGGUGAGGUAACGGCUCACCAAGGCGACGAUCAGUAGCUGGUCUGAGAGGAUGAUCAGCCACACUGGGACUGAGACACGGCCCAGACUCCUACGGGAGGCAGCAGUGGGGAAUAUUGGACAAUGGGCGCAAGCCUGAUCCAGCCAUGCCGCGUGAGUGAUCAAGGCCUUAGGGUUGUAAAGCUCUUUUAUCCGGGACGAUAGUGACGGUACCGGAGGAAUAAGCCCCGGCUAACUUCGUG
RNAcentral lists this ribosomal RNA (435 nucleotides) under uncultured bacterium. RNAcentral's name for it is "partial 16S ribosomal RNA". It matches the Rfam family "Bacterial small subunit ribosomal RNA", at positions 29 to 507 of the family's 1533-position model. The record is from RNAcentral.